Molecule: long non-coding RNA, 251 nt
Organism: Hordeum vulgare subsp. vulgare (domesticated barley)
Lineage: Eukaryota; Viridiplantae; Streptophyta; Magnoliopsida; Poales; Poaceae
Exons: 2
Source: RefSeq, a predicted model, not a curated record
AGUUGUACUUUUUCUUCAGUCCACGAGAGUAUUUAUCUGCUCCCUUCAGCUUGGGAUAAUUCUGGUGCAAAAUUGUGUUGUGAGCAGUGAUAUUGCCUGAUUGCUCAUCUUCGAGAUGGGUCACAUGGAUGAUAUGGAAGAUUUUGAAGGCUUUGGUGAUGAAGAUGAUGAUGGAGAUGAAGAUGAUAUGGAAGAGCGAGUAACAAAGAAACCCAAGCGAUCAGACUCUGAUUCAAGUUCAAAGAUUGGGC